Molecule: ribosomal RNA, 493 nt
Filed under: uncultured bacterium
Lineage: Bacteria
Description: partial 16S ribosomal RNA
Rfam family: Bacterial small subunit ribosomal RNA
Source: RNAcentral
AUUGAACGCUGGCGGCAUGCUUUACACAUGCAAGUCGAACGGUAACAGGUUAAGCUGACGAGUGGCGAACGGGUGAGUAAUGCAUCGGAACGUGCCCGGUCGUGGGGGAUAACGCAGCGAAAGCUGCGCUAAUACCGCAUACGAUCUAAGGAUGAAAGCGGGGGACCGUAAGGCCUCGCGCGAUCGGAGCGGCCGAUGUCAGAUUAGGUAGUUGGUGGGGUAAAGGCUCACCAAGCCAACGAUCUGUAGCUGGUCUGAGAGGACGAACAGCCACACUGGGACUGAGACAAGGCCCAGACUCCUACGGGAGGCAGCAGUGGGGAAUUUUGGACAAUGGGCGAAAGCCUGAUCCAGCAAUGCCGCGUGCAGGAAGAAGGCCUUCGGGUUGUAAACUGCUUUUGUACGGAGCGAAAAGGUCUCCUCUAAUACAGGGGGCUCAUGACGGUACCGUAAGAAUAAGCACCGGCUAACUACGUGCCAGCAGCCGCCGCAG